CAGCCUGGGAAAGGGAAAAGGAAGAGAAACACCCAAUGGGAAAGGAUUGCUGGGUAGGUUAGACACAGAGCCAGAAAAUUCCAGAAUAUAGCAGAGUUUUCAGAUCAUAAGAAAAUCAGAUGUCUGUGUGAAGUCACACAACACCCUCAAUGAGACUACAAAAUGUUUGAGUGUCCUGAUAUUACAGAUUCAGGGUAAAAUGCUUUCCUAAGUUUCCAAGUUAUAGUUAGAAAUGUUUUGCUCUGAGUUUUACGCAAAACCAUGUGGGGGAAUUGGACUGGUAAAUUCUUUAAUUCAGAGAAGGUUAAAAGCUUAACAGAUAGAAAAAAAGCUUGCUUUGGGUAGGAAUUGGAGCAUUUGCUCUGGUGUAUAUGUGAAGCUGUCCUGUUUGUGCACAAAGAUGGGCUUUUAAUGAGUUUAUUUCAUUCACUUUUUAUGCAGAGUUGAAGCAAAGAAAAUGGCAUGGAAAGGCCAGCAUGGAAUAUCUGUUCUUCAUCAUAUCUUCCAAAGGUUCAGGAAUGCUGACACUGUUGGGAUUGUUCUUCGUGGGUGUGGAUGAACCUCUCAAUCCUGAGUGAGAAGCAGCACAAAGCCCUGUGAGUACUGAUUUUGCCUGAUGGUGUUACUUUGCACAGUGAACAGCUCCCAUGUGGCACUGCAGAGAAACGUUCUUUAGUGUGAGAUAAUAGAAAUACUCUUUGUUUUGCAUCAAAUGUAUCAGACAAAUACUCAUUAGCAAACUGGACGAGAAAUAACUCAGAAGAUGCAAUUUUUUGUUAAAUUCUUAAAUGCUUUUGUGGUAUUAAAUGAUGAAAUAGCAGCAGAGAGGAAGAACAGUUUCAAUCUUUUUAAGACUCAUUUUUUUCUUAAUCAUGAAGUUGUUGGAUAGUUUCACCUUGAAUUUUCUUACAGGUUUGUAAGGCCAAUCUUGAAGAAAUAAACUUUAUGCGAAGUUUCAGUCCAAGAGCCAGACUGCCUUAAACUCACCUGAAAGUCUCAGGACGGCCCACUAAAUGAUACCGUUUCUCCUGUUUAUUCUCUUAAACUUAAUCUGCAGUGCCUGAAGGCAGAGUAGGUACAAUAAACCCAUCCAUUCAACCUUCACGAAGUUCCUGGGUACCCUAACACCUCCCCCUUUCAGUUCCCUCUGCCAAAACUGUUUCCCCUUGGCUGGAAGACCAGAUUUGUUAAUCAAAUACUCCAGCGAGGCACGAAGUGGAAGAAAGCAAAACUAUCAAUUAAGUUUGAUUAUAAUCCCCAGAGUUGGUAGUUCAUAGAGAAUUCUCAUAACUACAGGCACUGCAGUACUUUAUAUGUACAGCAAAGGGAAGCCAAGACCUCAUUUCCAUAAAGCAGAUCUUGACACUCUA
Non-coding RNA from Taeniopygia guttata (zebra finch), 1370 nucleotides. NCBI's taxonomy places the organism in Eukaryota, Metazoa, Chordata, Aves, Passeriformes, Estrildidae. The record is from RefSeq and is a predicted model, not a curated record.